This 492-nucleotide ribosomal RNA is filed under the name uncultured bacterium. RNAcentral's name for it is "partial 16S ribosomal RNA". It matches the Rfam family "Bacterial small subunit ribosomal RNA", at positions 29 to 507 of the family's 1533-position model. The record is from RNAcentral.
AGUGAACGCUGGCGGUAGGCCUAACACAUGCAAGUCGAACGGCAGCACAGUAAGAGCUUGCUCUUACGGGUGGCGAGUGGCGGACGGGUGAGGAAUACAUCGGAAUCUACUUUUUCGUGGGGGAUAACGUAGGGAAACUUACGCUAAUACCGCAUACGACCUACGGGUGAAAGCAGGGGAUCUUCGGACCUUGCGCGAUUGAAUGAGCCGAUGUCAGAUUAGCUAGUUGGCGGGGUAAAGGCCCACCAAGGCGACGAUCCGUAGCUGGUCUGAGAGGAUGAUCAGCCACACUGGAACUGAGACACGGUCCAGACUCCUACGGGAGGAAGCAGUGGGGAAUAUUGGACAAUGGGCGCAAGCCUGAUCCAGCCAUACCGCGUGGGUGAAGAAGGCCUUCGGGUUGUAAAGCCCUUUUGUUGGGAAAGAAAAGCAGCAGGUUAAUACCCCGCUGUUCUGACGGUACCCAAAGAAUAGGCACCGGCUAACUUCGUG